This is a non-coding RNA of Styela clava, 2532 nucleotides long. Lineage: Eukaryota; Metazoa; Chordata; Ascidiacea; Stolidobranchia; Styelidae. The record is from RefSeq and is a predicted model, not a curated record.
GUGUGGUAACGUACAGAAACAACCUUUGGUAUCGUGCAAUUCUUAUUGGCUUUCUUUUGCUGACUUGAACUACUCCAAGAUUUGCAUCAGCCAAUUUUCUACAAUAUUUCGUUCCCUUGGAUAUUGCUUGGACCCCAACAUACCUGCGUGCGAAUGAAUUCUCUCUUCAUUUAAAAAUGGCGACAAUUUUUUACGAAUGCAUGAGUGGAAUAUUCAGUUCUUCAUGUUAUUUUGUGAUCUAUGGAUUCUUGGUUUACGUCACAAUUCCGCUGAUUUUCAAGAUUUAUCCAAAAAUCGUCUUUGAAGGAUUAUUUCUCAACAGAGUCUGCCCACCUGUAUGGUUACUGAAGCUGAACAAACCAGACAAAGCCUACAAUCUUAAAGAGAGCAAGAACUGCUAUGUGAAGUCUUCGAGUGGAAGUACUUUAGGCGUUUGGCAUAUUCCGCCAGUUCCUCAGUACGAUACUCCAGAGGUCAAAUCAGGGUCAUUACAAGACGCUGAGAAAAUCGUCAUUUAUUGCCAUGGCAACUCGUUUCAUCGUGGUUUCAAGCAUCGAAGAGAUUUAUAUUCAGAGCUGCAGAAAUCAGGAUUCCACAUCAUAGCUUUUGACUACAGUGGGUUUGCGGACUCUACCGGUCAGCCGAGCCCAACAAGAGUCGUGGAGGAUGCAAUUAGCGUGUAAAAGUGGACGGUCAAGCAGCUCCAGUAAGAAGAUGUGACAAUCGUGCUUUGGGGUCAUUCACUCGGCACUUACAUCAGCACAAGGGCGCUAUUGCUCAUGUACGACCAGAAAGAUGGCACUCGACUCCCUGACUGUCUGAUACUUGAAGCUCCGUUCACGAAUACAUACGAUGCCGCAGACUGCUUUCCACUAUCUAAGUAUUUCUAUCUGCUCUAUCCCUUCAUGAGGUCUCAAGUUCACAAGAAUAUCAAACAAUAUGACGUAGAGCUCAGGACGGAGAAGUAUCUGCCGACAAUAAAGGCUCCUGUUAUAAUCAUACAUGCUAAAGAUGAUCAGAGAAUCGACAUUCAUCUCGGUGAGACUCUGUACGAAAAGACGACAUCUGACCCCAUGACAAAAUCUCCUCACAUUCGUUUCAUUCGAAUGCACAAGGAUUACGGAGUGAAACACUACACUGCUAAGCACCCUGAGAUAAGGCAGUUAGUGCAUGAUUUCAUGGCUGAGGUAGCAAAGGUCAAAGGUGAUCAGGAACAAGGAACUCCAGAAAGAAGACGUGACAAUCGUGCUCUGGGGUCAUUCACUCGGCACGUACAUCAGCACGAGGACGCUAUCGCUUAUGUACGACCAGAAAGAUGGCACUCGACUCCCCGACUGUCUGAUACUUGAAGCUCCGUUCACGAAUACAUACGAUGCCGCAGACUGCUUUCCACUUUGUAAGUAUUUCUAUUUGCUCUAUCCCUUCAUGAGGUCUCAAGUUCACAAGAAUAUCAAACAAUAUGACAUUGAGCUCAGGACUGAGAAGUAUCUGCCGACAAUAAAGGCUCCUGUUAUGAUUUUACAUGCGAAAGAUGAUCAGAGAAUGGACAUUCAUCUAGGCGAGACUUUGUACAAGAAGACGACCUCUGACCUCACGACAAAAUCUUCUUACAUUCGCUUCAUUCGAAUGCAGUGAAGCACUAUACUGCUAAGCAUCCUGAGAUAAGGCAGUUAGUGCAUGAUUUCAUGGUUGAAGUAGCAAAGGUCAAAGGUGAUCAGGAACAAAGAUGUAAAAAUAGAUUUGAACUGCGGCCCACGGGCCAGUUACGGCUAACCGAAGUGUUUCAUCCGGCCCACUUGUGCCUAUAUCAAUUAUGACUAUGGUUUUCAUGGCUAUAAAUUUGCGUUGGAUCGAUGAAAAUAACGAAUCAUCGCCUAAAAUAUAGAUCACAUAUUAUUUGCACCUGAAUAGAAUUGUGCCACUUGGUACACUGGCUGUUUGUUGUACAUUAGCUGUUAUGCUUGUUAUUUGCAAAUGAAAUGUUUUGAGUCUCCAGUGACCAAAUCUAUUAUUUGUAACUGGCCCACUGAGAAAAAUAAUUGCCCGCCCCUGACUUAGAAUAUCAUUUCAUAUUGGUCAAAGUAACUUAAUUAAUCAUAGUCUAUUAUUAUGUGUACCAGGUUAGGGUCAGGCCAUAAUUUCAGGUACAAAUGCUAUGGGAUUCACUUGUCUAGUUCUCGAAUUCGUAAUAGAACUAAAAUAAGGAAAAUUGGAAUAAAAUUAUGGCCUAACCCUUUCCUGGUACACAUACUCCGGGAGUACCCUAUUUUCCUGUGAAGUUACAAAGGACAACUACUGUUAUUAACGCCCAGCAUUAUAACCGUUCAUGUUCAUUCACUCACUACACUGUGGGGUAUCUAUUGAUUUUAAAUCAAACUUAGCUUCCCCAUUGUUCUGGCACUGUCCCAAUUUCAUUUAUAUCUCUCUAUCGCAAACAGACCCAACAUUUGAAACCAAUAUUUAUGUGCAUGCAAUUGUGUUUCUUGUUAUAGUUGUAAAAUGCUUGUCUGAAGAAGUCUGACCUCGGUCAGA